GUCCCUAUAGCGCAAUGAAUAGCGCUUUGGACAUCUAAUACAAAGAUAGUGGAUUCGAAUCCCACCAGGGAUG
Non-coding RNA from Trichonephila clavipes, 73 nucleotides. Lineage: Eukaryota; Metazoa; Arthropoda; Arachnida; Araneae; Nephilidae. The record is from the annotation of a GenBank genome assembly.